UCCUCUUCAGCACCUGUUGUUGCCUGAC
RNAcentral lists this non-coding RNA (28 nucleotides) under Homo sapiens (human). The record is from RNAcentral. Lineage: Eukaryota; Metazoa; Chordata; Mammalia; Primates; Hominidae.